RNAcentral lists this long non-coding RNA (372 nucleotides) under Callithrix jacchus (white-tufted-ear marmoset). Its description in RNAcentral is "lncRNA (ENSCJAG00000071376.1)". The record is from RNAcentral. Lineage: Eukaryota; Metazoa; Chordata; Mammalia; Primates; Cebidae.
AAAAGAGCAGUUGAAGAUGAGGACCUGCCUUGAGUCUGACAAAGAGAAUAACUCCUCUUAACUCCAGACAUGAAAUGAGAGAAUAACUUUAUCUUAACUCCUGACACCAAAGUAAACAAGAAGAAAGUUAUCCUCCUGGGGUCUAAGUCUUGGGAAACAAGUUUUGUCCAGACUCGCAGGCCCCUCAUCCUCAGGAAGACAUUUGACACCAAGGAGAAGAUGCCCGCAGCAGGGGACAGCCACUGGAGUCCACGCUUCACACUGGUCCCUUUGUCACCCUGGGGCUCAUGCCAGUUGCCACACUGUGUCUCAGAGUACAAAAAUUCAACAUUAAUGAACCUACAAUCACAGCUUGACCAGAAGUCUCUCUAG